This 277-nucleotide ribosomal RNA is filed under the name uncultured prokaryote. Its description in RNAcentral is "partial 16S ribosomal RNA". It matches the Rfam family "Bacterial small subunit ribosomal RNA", at positions 524 to 800 of the family's 1533-position model. The record is from RNAcentral.
UACGAAGGGUGCAAGCGUUAAUCGGAAUUACUGGGCGUAAAGCGCGCGUAGGUGGUUCGUUAAGUUAGGAGUGAAAGCCCCGGGCUCAACCUGGGAAUUGCUUCUAAAACUGGCGAGCUAGAGUAUGGUAGAGGGUGGUGGAAUUUCCUGUGUAGCGGUGAAAUGCGUAGAUAUAGGAAGGAACAUCAGUGGCGAAGGCGACCACCUGGACUGAUACUGACACUGAGGUGCGAAAGCGUGGGGAGCAAACAGGAUUAGAUACCCCCGUAGUACCUGA